AUGAGAAGAUGGGAGAGAGGCAACAAGGCAGUCAUUGCUUUCUGGAGACCAAGACUGAACAGACUUGGCAUUCUAUAUCUAGGUGGCUGUUACAAGGUGUAUGAUUUUCUGUUUACUCUGUUUUGGUAUGUGCCCUUUUAUAUACUUUUAUUCUCAUUUUUUCACAGGCUUCUGUUGUCUUUUCCAUGCUUAAAUAUAUCUGCUUUGCCAUAUAUUCUGGAUAAUACAAAACAUUUAUGUUUAUCAUGAAAUUAAUACUGAGUCAUAUGAGAAUUGUAAUCUCAUUCUUGAGUACAUGAACCUGAAAUCUUAUCUGCUGUAACAAUGAAAAGGUGAAGUUACAAUGAAACAUCCUUGUUGAUGCUGAGCUAGGGUUUCUAACUUUCUUUGUAUCAGAGCUGAAAAUUAUAGAAAGAGAAAAUGUUGCUCUGUUAUUUCUCUAGACAAUUCAAGGUCCAGCCUCAACAAUUCAGAGAUAUUUUUGAGUAACACUGUGAGGUUCAUUAAAACUAAGAGAUCUCUGUAUAGCUUGUUAUAGUAGACUGCUGUUCUCAUAUGGGGGAUUUUUUGUAUUUUACACAUAAAAUAAUGCUGAAGUUGAUAAUGGACCUAGAGAAUUGCACUGCAUAGCCUCUGCCUCGUGUUUUGUCCAGUCUGUGAAACUAAGGGUUCAGGGUCCUGUGAGAGGAGUUCUGAUAUAUACACACAGUUACUGUUGAGCAAGGAAUUUAAUUUUCUGACCUUUGAAUAGCUCUCUUUGCAUCCUAAACUGUCAUUUUAUGUAACUGUGUUAUAGGAAUAGGUCAUUUUUCAUGAAGUUAGGACUCAUUAAUUCUGUUAAGUGCAGUGAUGUGUGAGAUGACGGCAGUAUUCCAUGCCAAGUAGUAUAUGAAUUCUGAGAGAGGGAUGCUGCAGCAUUAUUUGAUGUCCAAAGCCAUUUUUUAAUUAGAAAGCAGAGCAGUAAUGAUACAUGAUAGUUUUGACCAAGGAGUUGAUAGAUUGGGCCUAGCAUCACUGGCAGCACAGA
RNAcentral lists this long non-coding RNA (1027 nucleotides) under Anas platyrhynchos platyrhynchos (common mallard). RNAcentral describes it as "lncRNA (ENSAPLG00000022981.1)". The record is from RNAcentral. Lineage: Eukaryota; Metazoa; Chordata; Aves; Anseriformes; Anatidae.